Non-coding RNA from Pantherophis guttatus, 760 nucleotides. Lineage: Eukaryota; Metazoa; Chordata; Lepidosauria; Squamata; Colubridae. The record is from RefSeq and is a predicted model, not a curated record.
CCUCCCCGCGGCCCUUAAGGAGGAGGGGGGGGCUGACCUGGUUGCUGUGAGACCGAAAGCAGAUCACGUCGGUGUCGAGGCGGACCUUUCUUUCUCUCGGUUCUUGGAGCCAGCCUGCCGUGCCACGCGUCAGCCUUUGGCCCCCCAACUACAGCGCCCGCUGGGCUCCCCUCAGCAGCAGCGGCGGCGGCGGCAGCUCCUCUUCCGCUUCCUCCCCCCCAUAUUCCCUGCGCAGCCCGCGGAAGGGGGGGGGACGCUCCCUGCAGCUCCGCCUGCUGGUUCACUGAGGAAGGUGACGGGGCCUCCCUGAAGAGGCCAGAGGGUUUGAGGAGGGACGGCGGGAUCCUGCCAUCCGGCUGCCCUGCUCCGCUUCUCUCCUCGGAGAACAGCCUCACGAGAACCAACUGGCCUGGAGGGCGCUGCAGGUCCGGUCCUUGCCCUGGCGGGAAGCGGAGGAACCGAAGUUCGGCUUUCUGCCGGCGAAUUCUCGCUAAAAACUUCCCAUCUUCCUCACAGAAUGAAUCUGCAAAGUGUACAUUGAAGUUAUAGUCUCAGCCUAUAAGAAACAAACCCCAACAUUAAUUUUUCACAGCCUCAAAAUGCAUCAGAUGUAGCAUGGAGGAUACCGUACUUUCAUCUUGCAUGAACAGUGAAUAAAAAUAUUAAAAAGUGCACAUAAUUCUACAGUAAAUACUUUCCUUCCAAGCUUUAUUUAUCCUUACAGUCUACUUCUUGGCUAUUAAAAAUUCAUGUUAUAUCA